This is a long non-coding RNA of Eucalyptus grandis, 1188 nucleotides long. RefSeq lists it as uncharacterized. Lineage: Eukaryota; Viridiplantae; Streptophyta; Magnoliopsida; Myrtales; Myrtaceae. The record is from RefSeq and is a predicted model, not a curated record. The transcript is spliced from 2 exons.
CAUGCUUCUUGUCACGCUUUCAUUUCUUUUUCUUUCUGCCCUCAUCCCCAUUUUCAAUUCUUCCUCACGUCUUCUUCCCAUGAAGACCGAAGCCCACACCACCGAAAUAUCGCCACCGAAGCGUUUCUACUUUAUUGUUGCCACUCGUCCAGCUUCAACCGAAGCCCAUCUCUGCCACGUUGCUGCUCCCUCUAGCAAGUUUGGUCUCCACCGGUCUUCUUGUUGCCAACCCCAUCAUCCCCAUCCCACCGAAGCUGCUGCAUCCUCCGCCAGCUGCCAGCACCACCGGUUCCUUUAUGCUUCCACCUUGCCGCUUGAAAGUCCACCAAAGCUGCUGCCGUUCGUCCAGCAGAACCAGCUGAUUUCCAACUGCUGCCAUCUCGCCGAAGACCGAAGCUCACGGAUCCAGCUGCCAGCAAAGCUGAAACCCAGCGUUGUGUCCUACGUUGCUGCUUCAAUUUGCUACAGCUCAGCCCACGCUGCAACCUACCGAGCAGUCCAGCGAAAAUUCUCCACGGGCCCAAGCGAAUUCAACUCAGCCGCAGCAGGCCCAGUUCAGUUUUCAGUGGCCCAAGUCUGCAAGCUUCGGUCCAGCUUUGAAGCCCAUGUUCAGUUGUGGUUCAGCCCAGUUUGAAGCUGCAGUUCAGCCCAUUAAUUUCAGUCAGGCCCAAUCCAACAGUCUUCAGCCUAUUUGAAGCCCGGCCCAAUUUAGUGAAGUCCAGCAAGCCUAUUUAAAGCCCGCGACCUUGAAGCCCGUUUAGUUCAGUCCAUUCUCAGCAGGUCCAAGCCCAAGUUUAAGUCCAGAAUUUUCUGUGGGCUUGUAAAGUUUCUUGGCCUGGCCCGAGGGUGCAUCGAAACCGCCAAAAAUUUAGGUUUCAGCCGCCGUCACGGUGAUUCGGUCUCCGCUUUUACCCAGACUCGUAUGAGGAGCCUAAGGAGGAGGAAUCUAAUGACGAGAUCCCUAUUGAGGAAACCGAAGAGCAGUACGUGGAGAAGGACCCCAAGGACGACCCCAAGUACGACCCGAAUGAGGAUUGAGAUCCUGUCUUGUCUUGUCAGACCUUGUCUGCAUGUGAAUAGAUGUUAGAUCAAACUUACGUAUAUAUAGUAUUGUAGAAUACUAUGAGAUGUGUGUAAAAAGGUGUGGUUUUGAAUUUUCAGUAUGAAAAAUAUGAUUUGUUUUUACUA